This 458-nucleotide ribosomal RNA is filed under the name Bacillus sp. R-33776. Its description in RNAcentral is "bacterial SSU rRNA". It matches the Rfam family "Bacterial small subunit ribosomal RNA", at positions 20 to 484 of the family's 1533-position model. The record is from RNAcentral. Lineage: Bacteria; Bacillati; Bacillota; Bacilli; Caryophanales; Bacillaceae.
UGGCUCAGGACGAACGCUGGCGGCGUGCCUAAUACAUGCAAGUCGAGCGAACCACUUCGGUGGUUAGCGGCGGACGGGUGAGUAACACGUGGGCAACCUGCCUGUAAGACUGGGAUAACUUCGGGAAACCGGAGCUAAUACCGGAUAAUCCUUUUCCUCUCAUGAGGAAAAGCUGAAAGACGGUUUCGGCUGUCACUUACAGAUGGGCCCGCGGCGCAUUAGCUAGUUGGUGAGGUAACGGCUCACCAAGGCGACGAUGCGUAGCCGACCUGAGAGGGUGAUCGGCCACACUGGGACUGAGACACGGCCCAGACUCCUACGGGAGGCAGCAGUAGGGAAUCUUCCACAAUGGACGAAAGUCUGAUGGAGCAACGCCGCGUGAGCGAUGAAGGCCUUCGGGUCGUAAAGCUCUGUUGUUAGGGAAGAACAAGUACCGGAGUAACUGCCGGUACCUUGAC